RNA transcript from Panicum virgatum (switchgrass), 7386 nucleotides. It is a transcript of the gene named putative pentatricopeptide repeat-containing protein At1g74580, with no coding region annotated. Lineage: Eukaryota; Viridiplantae; Streptophyta; Magnoliopsida; Poales; Poaceae. The transcript has 10 exons. The record is from RefSeq and is a predicted model, not a curated record.
UCCCUCGCAAUUACGCCAGGAACCGGAUCGGAAUGGUCGUCCCUCCCGCCGCCGCGCCGCGCCGCGGAUGCGAUGCCGCCGCCGCCGCGCCUGCCGUCGCUAGCAGCCCUAGUCACCCGCCACCCUCACCAACUACCCGCCUCCGCCUCCGCCUCCGCCUCCUAUCCCUCAGCCUCCACGCUCCCUGCCUACCGCGCGCUCAUCCGCGACCUCUUCUCCGCCGGCCGUCUCGACGACGUCGACGCCGCCCUCGACUCCGCGCGCUCCCGCCUCGCCCCAGGCUCCCUCCAACCGCUCUACGUGACCUGCAUCCAAGCCUACGCCCGCGCCGGCCGCCUCCGUGCCGCCGUCGACACCUUCGAGCGCAUGGACCUCUUCGGCAGUCCGCCCGCCACCCCAGCCUACAACGCCAUCAUGGACGCCCUCGUCAACGCCGCCUACCACGACCAAGCUCACAAGGUCUACGUCAGGAUGCUAGCCGCCGGCGUUCCUCCCGACGCCCGCACCCACACCGUCCGCCUCAAAUCCUUCUGCCUCACCGGCCGCCCGCACGUCGCGCUGCGCCUGCUGCGCACCUUGCCGGAGCGUGGGUGUGACUCCCAACCCGUCGCCUACUGCACGGUCGUGCGGGGGUUCUAUGCCAGCGGCCACGGUCACGAUGCACGUCGCCUGUUCGAUGAAAUGCUCGGCAGGGAUGUCUUCCCUGACGUUGCCUCUUUCAACAAUGUUUUGCACGCUCUUUGCCUCAAUGGGGAUAUCUUCGAGUCUGGGGCACUUCUCGCCAAGGUCCUCAAGCGGGGGAUGCCGGUAAACAAGUUCACCUACAACAUAUGGAUCCGCGGGCUCUCUGAAGGCGGCAGGUUGGGAGAGGCUGUUGCGCUCGUGGAAAGGAUGGACUCCCACAUUUUGCCAGAUGUUGUCACCUACAACACAUUGAUACGUGGCCUUUGUAAGGACUCCAAGGUCUGGGAAGCUGCACAAUAUCUUCGUAGGAUGAUCAACCGGGGCUGCAUCCCAGAUGAUUUCACCUACAACACCAUCAUCGAUGGCUACUGCAAGAAGGGCAUGCUGCAGGAAGCUACUGAGCUUCUGAAAGACGCUGUCUUUAAAGGUUUUGUGCCGGACCGGGUCACAUACUGCUCGCUGAUCAAUGGACUGUGUGCUGAGGGUGAUGUUGAGAGGGCCCUGGAGCUCUUUAGUGAGGCACAAGCAAAAGAUCUGAAGCCUGACCUUGUCGUCUACAACACCCUUGUCAAGGGGCUCUGUCGUCAGGGUCUGAUCUUGCAUGCCUUGCAGAUCAUGAAUGAGAUGGUCGAGGAUGGCUGCCAUCCUGACAUUUGGACAUACAAUAUUAUCAUCAACGGACUAUGCAAAAUGGGAAAUAUUUCAGAUGCGACAGUUGUGAUGAAUGAUGCCAUUGUCAAAGGAUACCUUCCAGAUGUCUUUACCUUCAACACGUUGAUUGAUGGCUACUGCAAGAGAUUGAAGCUCGACAGUGCUCUUCAGCUUGUCGAAAGGAUGUGGACAUAUGCCAUUACCCCUGAUGCUAUUACAUACAACUCAGUUCUGAAUGGUCUCUGCAAAGCAGGGAAGGCCAAGGAAGUCAAUGAAACAUUUGAAGAGAUGGUCCUUAAAGGAUGCCGACCAAAUGCUAUCACAUACAACAUACUGAUAGAGAAUUUUUGCAAGAUCAAUCAACUGGAAGCGGCUUCUGGGGUGAUAGUCAAGAUGUGCCAGGAAGGGUUAGUUCCUGAUGCGGUUAGUUUCAAUACGCUGAUUCAUGGAUUCUGCAGGAAUGGUGAUCUUGAUGGAGCAUACCUACUGUUUCAGAAGUUGGAUGAGAAAGGGUACUCUGCAACAGCUGAUACUUUCAACAUUCUGAUUGGUGCAUAUUCUAGUAAGCUGAAUAUGGAAAUGGCUGAAAAGAUUUUUGAUGAAAUGAUCAGCAAGAGCUAUAAACCUGAUCUGUAUACCUAUCGUGUUCUAAUCGAUGGGUUAUGCAAGGCUGCAAAUGUUGAUCGCGCAUAUGUGCAUCUGACAGAAAUGGUAAACAAGGGAUUUGUUCCAUCGAUGGUGACUUUUGGCCGUGUAAUAAAUGCACUUGCAGUGAAUCAUCGAAUAUCCCAAGCUGUUUCUAUUAUUCACAUCAUGGUGAGAAUAGGAGUUGUUCCCGAGGCUGUUGAUACCAUCUUUAGUGCUGAUAAGAAGGAGAUAGCUGCACCAAAGAUACUUGUUGAGGAAUUGAUGAAGAAGGGUCACAUUAGUUACUCUACUUAUGAAAUUCUCCAUGGAGGAGUGAGAGACACCAGAUUAACUAGAAAAGCUCGAAAGGAAAAAUACAUCUAAUGUGUUUACUUCACCACAUCAGUAAAAAAUCAUGUCAGUAAGCCAAUAGAGCUUCGAUGUAUCUGAGCAUAAGAUCUUAUUAUUGUCCUAUUAGUAGCUGUACACUACCACUUCAGGGCUUCUUUGUUCAGAAUAUGUAGACUAUAUGUUCCUACUUCCUAGUUGUAGGAAUACAAAGGUCCGACAUUUCUAUGUAUGUAUGAAGGCUCAUGGUAGUUCAAGGCACUGCAAUGUUUGAAGUCAGUGUUGGAAGGUGGCCAGUGGCCACUACUAGUAAGAAAUACUUGUGGAAUUGUGAGUAUUUUUCCCAUUUAUAUGACUUGCUUACAGAUCUCAUGGGAAGUGCUCUCAUCUCUCUAUUGGCGUACUUAAAUGCAGUCCCACUCAAAAAUGUUGAUAAAUUUGUUGCAAGUGCUAUUAAACUAUAUAGACAUGUUGUUAGGUCCUGACUCAUUUUGUCAAAUGCUUUCUAUAGCCUGUUAAUGCAGGUUGCUGUGCUCUUCUGACUGAUCUUGUGACAAGAUUCUGAACCACCUCCUGUUUGUUGCUGUUGGUGCUUCUAUAUGUGUCAUAUGCCAUUCAAUAAACAAGGAUGACAGGCAUCCUCCCGUUAGUCACCAUCAGUUCCAAGGCUCUAACCAAUGAAGCUGUAUUCCCUAGUCUGUACCUGGUUGUCUGCUGUCACACGCAUCAAAUGAUACAUCUCAGUGCUGAAGUUAUUCCAUUAGUUUUCUUUGUGCAACCAAACUGGUACUUUUCUACUUUAUCAGUUUUUGCCUGUUUGAGAGGGCAUUCAGGACAAAUUCCAAUUCUAUACAAGCAAAAAAUAAUAAAUAUGGAAAAUCUUUCAGCAUAAAAAAUAAUUAUAGUGUUUUGAUGAGUAAAUCAAGUUCAAAAUGAUUUUUUUGAGAGAUGGACAAACUGAAUUUUAACCACAAAUCAGAAUCAACGUAAUUAAUUUAAACUACAUGUACCAGACUGACAGGGACAAGAAACUUUUAUUUUGUUGACGUUUUCCAAGAUGACCAGCAUGGCCACUUGAGCCUUUUUAAUUAGGCGAUGCUAAUCGAUCCUUAUCAGCUUAUGUCAUGCCAGCAGAAAAAAGAAAGAAUGCUCAAAGGAAGAGAGCACCACAUACUGUCAACCAUCACAACUCACCUACCAAACGUAUGCCUUCACCAAUAAAAUAUUGGGGUAGACAAAUGCAACAUGCUAUGCAAUUGUUUUUGUGCAUUAGUGGUAUUCACUGCAUGAUGCAACUGAUUUAGACUACUCAGCUUCCUCAACCAAUAUUGAUGAUACUGAUGAUGGAAUUGCCUCCAACACCCCCCCCCUCCAAAAAAAGAAAAAAGAAAAAACACGGACUAUGCAAUAUAGUAAUGUGUUGACUUGUUGCAAGAUGUACUCAGAACUAACUCUCUAUUUAUUUCCCCUCAAUUAUAUAUUGAACUUAUUAUUAUUACUUGAUUCACCUCUUGCCACGUGGUCUUGGGUCUGCAGCUACCAACUAAUUUCAUGGAAUGAACACGUUGAAAAACAGGUAUUUUGUAACUUGUCAGUCAUUGGUAAAUCUUGUCAGCAUCGCCACUAUCAACUGCUCAUCAAUCUAUUGUUUUUUCUGCAUUUAAUCUUGCAUGUACUGUUAAUUGUCUGUGGUAAAAGACGUCAUCUAUAUAAUUGCGAUAAGACUCUCCUUCGAUCUCAUAGAGUGAAAGAGCCCAACAGAAUUUUUGGUUUUGGAUUGAAUUGAGAAUUUUAGUUUUAAUUCUCUUUUCUUGCUGCAUAGUGUGUUUUCCCCCUCUGCUGGGCCCAUGCCCUUGUCCAGAUUUCUCCUCCUUAUUUAUCUAAUAUAAUACUGCAGUAGUGGAAUCCCCUACUGUUUCUGCUAAAAAAACUAAAAAUCAAGGUCUCGAGGCAGCUCAUCUCUAGACGUCUAGUGGUGAGAAGGGAACUAACAGGACCCAACGGCCCUCCUGCUCAGCCUAGCUUUCAUUGGUGCCACCUCUUGGGCUUGGUCUCCUCUCGCGCUCUCUGCUUCUUCUACAGAUUGAUUAUAUUCCUGUUUCGGUUCUGUCUAUACCCUCGUAAGAUAUAAUCAUACCUUGUUUGGCUAAAUCUCUUGUUGUGUACCUUCAUAUUUUUGUUUCAUAAUAUCUGAAUCGCAAUCUUUGAUUGUUCUUGCAGUAUGUUCCCCUCCCUUUUGUUUGUGUCCAUCUUUUUUUUGUGAGUAAAAAGGAACAUCAAAUUUAUAGAGCACGAGCUGUUCGUUGAUUUGCCUAAAAGAUGCUCUAUCUGCUAUUUUGCUCCGAACUUUUAAACUUUGGGAGUUAUUUUCUACUGCAUGUCUUCUGAUGUCUGAAUCAUAUACCUGCAGCACCGGACCUUGAGGCUCGUCAGAGUUCAGGAGCUGUUUUCAAGAUGUUGCCUCUUGAAAAUGAGCCUGGUCACUGAAUUUCCUUGAUUUUAUUCCUGCAAGGAGGUUGAAGUGAGGGGAUUAACGAGAAUUAGAAGAGUUAUGGGAGUUGUGCUUCUGGGUUUCUUGGGCCAGCUAAUCAAACGGCGAGCUUCUCUGCGGUGGAAGCAAGCGGGAAGAGCAUCUUACCGCUGCAGCUAGCCUCCUAAUCGUUUUUAACUUCCUUCUACUUAGAUACAUAAUUCUCCUAGUCAAUUCAUGUACCUUUACGCAUGAAAUUUGAUCUGUGGGCACAUUUAAGGGGAUGAGCACACAUAUCAUACAACUGUUACAAGGACUGUGUUCUGAUGGUCUAUGGAGGUAUGCCAUCUUCUGGUCUUUCAAAAGCGAGAUGAAUGGGUGGUAAGUUUAUUUGUUUGUUCCGGCACAAUCGUCGAACUAGCAUGCAUGAAAAUUCAAAGUAUAACUCCAAUUUUUAUACCAAGAUAAAGAAUAACUAUUGCUCACCAUACAAUCUUCAAAUAUGCUCAAGUAACUUCCCACGGCUUAAAUUCAUGGUUGUAACUAGACCUGCUACGGUUGAAUGAGAACAUAGCCAAAACCUUAUACUUGAAGUUGGCAUGGAGCACAAAAUUGGGGGUAUUAAGAAAUUUCUGUUUGUAGCGUUGCUUCAUCUUGCUCUUUGUCUCUUUCAUAAUUGGGUAAAUAUAUCUUGCAGGAUCUUGACUUGGGGGGAUGGCUAUGUUGAUAAAAUGGUAGAAUACAGACAAGUGGGAAAUCUUUCUGCUGUCCCCACUGUUAGUAAGAAUCAGAUUGUACCAUCCUCUUGCUACAACAAAGGCUAUCCAUUUUGCCCCAUUGAGGCAGCACUACUGAGAAUGUCUAGCCAUUUGUACCCUCUUGGAGAAGGGAUUAUUGGUAAAGUAGCGCUUACAGGACAACAUUGCUGGAUUUCUGCCAACGAACUUUGUUCGAUAUCUAUGCAUAAUUACCAAGAAGACUGGCUGCUUCAAUUCGCAGCAGGGAUCAAGACAGUACUGCUUGUACCGGUGGUUCCUCAUGGGGUUCUUCAACUGGGUUCUUUAGAUAUGGUUUUUGAAAGUUCAGCGUUGGUGACACUCAUCAAGGACUUGUUUCAUGAGCUUUACGAUGCUCCGGUUUCUCAUACCUCUUUAUCUGCUGACUCAUAUACUUUGAGGCUACCAACUGCAACUCUAUCAAUCGACCAUCCAGAUGUUAACUUGUUUGAGAUCAAUAGUGCUGCUCAGCUUUUGAAUGAUCAUCUCAGUUUAACUCAACCCUUCACUACAUCAGAAUUUCCAACAGUGGAAGAUAGCACUAUAGGCUCUUACAGAAUUAGUGUAACAGGUGGGCCUGAUGGACUGUUGGGUGGUAACGAAAUCAUGAAGUAUGAAUAUUCCAAUGGCUUUACCCUGACUGAUAUGGCACAUGGAUAUCAAGAGAAUACUUGUGGUGAUGGCAGCACUGUUCUAAAUGAUGGUGUAGUGAUUUCAAGUUCAAUCCAUUCAGAGUUUCACAGGGAUCUCAUGGCAAUGUCCAGGGAAGAACACGAACUCUUCAUAUGGCAUAGUAGGUUGAAGCACACAAGCCCCACACCCCUUCAAGUGAAUGGCGACAAUGCAGACUUUUGCAUGCAGCUUGAAACCAACAAUUAUGCAGAAAUGUUACUAGAUACUAUAAUUGACCAGAUUGGUCAUACGCCAAACAGUGAAUCUUCUCACCCAACUGAUCCUCCACUUUCAUGUGAAAUGAUAAUUAAAAAAGAUAAUGCGCCGAGGAUGGAUGAAUCAUCAGUUCCUGACAUCCCUGGUGGCCAAGAACUUUCACAUAUCCCCAUGAACGAAGGCUUCAUAAGUUGUGCAAUGACUGAUGCUUCGCCUAAAGAAAUCAGCAAGACCACAACUCAAGAAUGCAUAGUUCGAAAUACACAUGGGACAAAUUCAGCUGAAAUAAAAAUAAGACGCGGUAACGUUGAGAGUCAGAGGCCAAGACCAAGAGACAGGCAAUUGAUCCAAGAUAGGAUGAAGGGUUUGAGGGAGCUCAUUCCAAACGCAUCUAUGUGCAGCAUUGAUGCUCUACUGGACAAAACCAUAGCAUACAUGCUGUUCCUCCAGAGCGUAUCCGAGAAAGCUGAGAAGAUCCCGAAUACUACAUCGGAAGACAAGGAGCCCCAUGAUGAGACAAAGAAACAACUUGAAAGCUGCCCGCUGAGAGUUGAAGAGCUUGAUCAGCCUGGCCAUCUUCUCAUUAAGAUGCUGUGCGAGGACUAUGAAGUCUUCCUUGAGAUAGCACAUGUGUUGAAAGGCCUUGACGUGAGCAUACUGAAAGGAGUGUUGGAGCAUCGUUCUGCCAAGCUCUGGGCUAGCUUUGUCAUCGAGGCAUCGGGAGGUUUGGGCCAGAUGCAGAUUCUGUGCCCACUGAUGCAUCUCCUGCACAGGAGAUGGAGUUAGCAUGUCUGUCAGGCUCUGUUUACCUGUCAUUUUAGUGUUUGUGGUUGAUGUGGAUUAGUUAUGCAAACACCUUAGACCGACUGUUUGCUUGGUACUCUACUAUGUACAGCUAAAUAAUGGAUGAAUGCAUUUAGAUCACAAUAUUAUUACCCAAAA